AGUCUCACCUGCAGGCAAAUCGUAGCCUAGAUUAAUUAAUUUCUCCCCACAUAUGCACACCUCCUCUCCUCAUAACAUACAUACAUACUUGUACUACUUUUAGGAAAAUUUCAAGGUUCAAAUCUUUUUUAUAGUGGGUCCCUUCUCUUCUCUUGUACAGUUUCACCGGCUAGCUAGGCUAGGCACACUUAAAUAUUAGCCUUCUCCUGGAAUGGUAGACAAUUUUGUUUGAAAUUGGUUAGUAUGAAGUUUAUUUUGAGGUAAGUUGGUCAAUUGACCAAUAGAAUACUAACACGCAGAUGAAGUUGUAUGUGUG
Molecule: long non-coding RNA, 316 nt
Filed under: Panax ginseng (ginseng)
Lineage: Eukaryota; Viridiplantae; Streptophyta; Magnoliopsida; Apiales; Araliaceae
Description: long non-coding RNA (PGIN_LNC000795)
Source: RNAcentral